ACGAACGCUGGCGGCGUGCUUAACACAUGCAAGUCGAACGGAAAGGCCCUGCUUUUGUGGGGUGCUCGAGUGGCGAACGGGUGAGUAACACGUGAGUAACCUGCCCUUGACUUUGGGAUAACUUCAGGAAACUGGGGCUAAUACCGGAUAGGAGCUCCUGCUGCAUGGUGGGGGUUGGAAAGUUUCGGCGGUUGGGGAUGGACUCGCGGCUUAUCAGCUUGUUGGUGGGGUAGUGGCUUACCAAGGCUUUGACGGGUAGCCGGCCUGAGAGGGUGACCGGCCACAAUGGGACUGAGAGACGGCCCAGACUCCUACGGGAGGCAGCAGUGGGGAAUAUUGCACAAUGGGCGGAAGCCUGAUGCAGCAACGCCGCGUGCGGGAUGACGGCCUUCGGGUUGUAAACCGCUUUCGCCUGUGACGAAGCGUGAGUGACGGUAAUGGGUAAAGAAGCACCGGCUAACUACGUG
RNAcentral lists this ribosomal RNA (467 nucleotides) under uncultured bacterium. RNAcentral's name for it is "partial 16S ribosomal RNA". It matches the Rfam family "Bacterial small subunit ribosomal RNA", at positions 29 to 507 of the family's 1533-position model. The record is from RNAcentral.